AUAUUUACUUUGUAGGGGAGAUACCGUGAUCCCGAAAGUGGUUUUUCCAGAGCGAGUCUUAUCUAUUGCACUGGAAAUGUGCUGACCCUUGCGAUUUCCCUAGAUGUGGGAAACUCGAUUGCGUAAUUGUGGUAGUGGGGGACUGCGUUCGCGCUUUACUCUG
Molecule: small nuclear RNA, 163 nt
Organism: Ailuropoda melanoleuca (giant panda)
Lineage: Eukaryota; Metazoa; Chordata; Mammalia; Carnivora; Ursidae
Gene: U1
Rfam family: U1 spliceosomal RNA
About the family: U1 is a small nuclear RNA (snRNA) component of the spliceosome (involved in pre-mRNA splicing). Its 5' end forms complementary base pairs with the 5' splice junction, thus defining the 5' donor site of an intron.
Source: Ensembl